AGUAGAAUGGCUGAGGUAUUAUAGGUAAAGGAUUGUAAAUCUUUUUAGGAGUUUAAAACUCUUCUAAUA
This 69-nucleotide transfer RNA is filed under the name Geoscapheus rugulosus. RNAcentral's name for it is "tRNA-Tyr". Lineage: Eukaryota; Metazoa; Arthropoda; Insecta; Blattodea; Blaberidae. The record is from RNAcentral.